CGUAAACAACCUGCCUUCAGGAUGGGGACAACAGACGGAAACGACUGCUAAUACCGAAUAAGUUCCAAGAGCCGCAUGGCUCAUGGAAGAAAAGGUGGCCUCUACCUGUAAGCUAUCGCCUGAAGAGGGGUUUGCGUCUGAUUAGCUGGUUGGAGGGGUAACGGCCCACCAAGGCGACGAUCAGUAGCCGGUCUGAGAGGAUGAACGGCCACACUGGAACUGAGACACGGUCCAG
RNAcentral lists this ribosomal RNA (235 nucleotides) under uncultured bacterium. RNAcentral's name for it is "partial 16S ribosomal RNA". It matches the Rfam family "Bacterial small subunit ribosomal RNA", at positions 116 to 334 of the family's 1533-position model. The record is from RNAcentral.